CGAAGGUGGCAAGCGUUACUCGGAAUUACUAGGCGUAAAGCGCAGGUAGGCUGUUCGACAAGUCCGUAAUGAAAAUCUCCCGGCUUAACUGGGAGGGGUUUAGGGAUACUGUCGGGCUUGAGUGUGGUAGAGGUAACUGGAAUUCCUGGUGUUGCGGUGAAAUGCGUAGAGAUCGGGAGGAACACCUAUGGCGAAAGCAGGUUACUGGACCAAUACUGACGCUGAGCUGCGAAAGCUAGGGGAGCAAACAGGAUUAGAUACCCUGGUAGUCCUAGCCAUAAACGAUGCAGACCAGAGGUGGGGGGUAUCGACCCCCUCCGCCCCGAACUUAACGGAUUAAGUCUGCCGCCUGGGGAGUACGGCCGCAAGGUUG
Molecule: ribosomal RNA, 373 nt
Filed under: uncultured organism
Description: bacterial SSU rRNA
Rfam family: Bacterial small subunit ribosomal RNA
Source: RNAcentral